GAUUAAACAACAUCAAUCAGAUUGCAUGAAACAAUCCAACACAACUGCGCUUGCACAGCAUGCCAUGUCUGAGGGACAUCAGUUUGAUUUUGAUGACGCGAAAAUUCUGACCAGGGAGAACAAUUGGUUCAAACGUAAUUUCAAAGAGAUGCUCUUCAUCAAGAGACACCCGAAUUCAAUCAAUGCGCGGUCUGAUAUAGGUUCACUGAACAUCGUAUAUUCGAACCUGAUUAAAGAAAUAAAAUUAUAAUCUUCAUGACAUAUCACUUUCCAUCUGGUGCAGUUCUGUGUUACAUUCGAAUGGAUGAACCUGCGACCGAUACGUCAGAGAGUUUGUUUGGAUCCCCGAGAUGAAAGAAAAUUGUUAUUUUUAUUUUCUCCACGAAUUUGAAUUUCUUCAAAUGAUUCACAUCGUAAUUUCUUAUUCACAAGCCUGAGGAAGGGAAUAAAUUUCCCGAAACGUUGCUGCUGAAUAAAUUAUACAUAAAUA
This is a long non-coding RNA of Harmonia axyridis, 490 nucleotides long. RefSeq lists it as uncharacterized. The transcript has 2 exons. The record is from RefSeq and is a predicted model, not a curated record. Lineage: Eukaryota; Metazoa; Arthropoda; Insecta; Coleoptera; Coccinellidae.